Long non-coding RNA from Tachyglossus aculeatus (Australian echidna), 371 nucleotides. RefSeq lists it as uncharacterized. NCBI's taxonomy places the organism in Eukaryota, Metazoa, Chordata, Mammalia, Monotremata, Tachyglossidae. The transcript is spliced from 3 exons. The record is from RefSeq and is a predicted model, not a curated record.
ACAGUCCCUACACAACAGUGGGCUCACAGUCUAAAAGAAUAAUUUCCAAGAAUAAUUUCUAACCUCCAAAGGACGUUCUGCAUUUUAUCUUCUAGAACUGGAAGCCCAACAUGAAUCUAGCUGCGCUUUGGGGGCACCCAGAAAGUCUGCCAUUUCGCCCCGCCGAUAAGUAGUAGCCGCUGGCAGUGAUUGUGCUGAGAGGAUAAGGAAGGUACAGCUCCCUUGGGGCCUGGCGUGAAGUGAUGGAGGCUGGCUGAGCCACGGUGACAGCUCAUCGGCAAACUUUGGGAAUUCCCACGACCCGAGGACAGCAUUCCAAGACCCGUCCAGAGCUACCUCCAGUGUGGCCUGGUCCCUGGAUCUGACCAAGG